GAUGAACGCUGGCGGCGUGCCUAAUACAUGCAAGUCGAGAGAUCGGACGAGAAGCUUGCUUCUCUGAUGUUAGCGGCGGACGGGUGAGUAACACGUGGAUAACCUACCUAUAAGACUGGGAUAACUUCGGGAAACCGGAGCUAAUACCGGAUGAUAUUUUGAACCGCAUGGUUCAAAAGUGAAAGACGGUCUUGCUGUCACUUAUAGAUGGAUCCGCGCUGCAUUAGCUAGUUGGUAAGGUAACGGCUUACCAAGGCAACGAUGCAUAGCCGACCUGAGAGGGUGAUCGGCCACACUGGAACUGAGACACGGUCCAGACUCCUGCGGGAGGCAGCAGUAGGGAAUCUUCCGCAAUGGGCGAAAGCCUGACGGAGCAACGCCGCGUGAGUGAUGAAGGUCUUCGGAUCGUAAAACUCUGUUAUUAGGGAAGAACAUAUGUGUAAGUAACUGUGCACAUCUUGACGGUACCUAAUCAGAAAGCCACGGCUAACUACGUG
This 497-nucleotide ribosomal RNA is filed under the name uncultured bacterium. RNAcentral describes it as "partial 16S ribosomal RNA". It matches the Rfam family "Bacterial small subunit ribosomal RNA", at positions 28 to 507 of the family's 1533-position model. The record is from RNAcentral.